Molecule: ribosomal RNA, 514 nt
Filed under: Bifidobacterium longum subsp. suillum
Lineage: Bacteria; Bacillati; Actinomycetota; Actinomycetes; Bifidobacteriales; Bifidobacteriaceae
Description: bacterial SSU rRNA
Rfam family: Bacterial small subunit ribosomal RNA
Source: RNAcentral
UGGUAAUGCCGGAUGCUCCAGUUGAUCGCAUGGUCUUCUGGGAAAGCUUUCGCGGUAUGGGAUGGGGUCGCGUCCUAUCAGCUUGACGGCGGGGUAACGGCCCACCGUGGCUUCGACGGGUAGCCGGCCUGAGAGGGCGACCGGCCACAUUGGGACUGAGAUACGGCCCAGACUCCUACGGGAGGCAGCAGUGGGGAAUAUUGCACAAUGGGCGCAAGCCUGAUGCAGCGACGCCGCGUGAGGGAUGGAGGCCUUCGGGUUGUAAACCUCUUUUAUCGGGGAGCAAGCGAGAGUGAGUUUACCCGUUGAAUAAGCACCGGCUAACUACGUGCCAGCAGCCGCGGUAAUACGUAGGGUGCAAGCGUUAUCCGGAAUUAUUGGGCGUAAAGGGCUCGUAGGCGGUUCGUCGCGUCCGGUGUGAAAGUCCAUCGCUUAACGGUGGAUCCGCGCCGGGUACGGGCGGGCUUGAGUGCGGUAGGGGAGACUGGAAUUCCCGGUGUAACGGUGGAAUGUG